CUCCCGCGUGGCGGCGUCACGGAGAUCGCUGUCGACCCGGACUUGUGGGCGCGAUUGGAGGAAAAGGCCCGGGCAGAGUGCGAACGAGAUGAGGCGGGGAGCCCGGCGAAGGAAAGCGGCGACGCCGACGAAGAGGCCGCAGAGGAAGGGGAGAGCGAGAAGGGGGCGGGGCCUAGAAGUGCGGGGUGGCGUGCGCUCCGGCGGCUCUGGGACAGGGUCCUGGCGCCGGCGCGCCGCUGGCGGCGUCCGCUCCCUAGCCACGUGCUCUACUGUCCCGAGAUCAAGGACAUUGCCCACCUGACCCGUUGCACGCUGUAACCGAGGAAUCCAGAAGCUACUGCUGACGGAAGGUGGGAGCUGCAGCCUCGGGAUGUGCUUUAGUGCAGGGAGCUGAUGUCAAGACUACUACUCUCAGAUCCCAGGAUUGGCACUGAUGAGAUGAGCCAAGGGCAGGAGGGAACGCCCUGGAAGGUGUUGAUGCUGAGCUGGGAGGCUCCUAGACAAACUCGCCCCCAUCUACAGACUGUGCCAGUCUUACAUUUUUCAGGAUGGAGUGGCCAAGGGAUGCUAUAAACAAAGCCUACGUUAUCGUGGGAAGAAGACAGACGUUUUCUUAGCUGUGACUUUGGCUUUUGUCCAAGGUGGUUCUGGUGUGUGGGAGCAACAGGUCCCAUUUUAGCAA
Carlito syrichta (Philippine tarsier) is the source of this 682-nucleotide long non-coding RNA. RefSeq lists it as uncharacterized. Lineage: Eukaryota; Metazoa; Chordata; Mammalia; Primates; Tarsiidae. The record is from RefSeq and is a predicted model, not a curated record. The transcript has 2 exons.